GGUAGGGUGGCCGAAUGAGGUUGCGGGUUGUAGCCCCGAACAUGGAGGUUUAAGUCCUCUUCCUAUCA
Molecule: transfer RNA, 68 nt
Filed under: Osteochilus schlegelii (giant sharkminnow)
Lineage: Eukaryota; Metazoa; Chordata; Actinopteri; Cypriniformes; Cyprinidae
Description: tRNA-Tyr
Rfam family: tRNA
About the family: Transfer RNA (tRNA) molecules are approximately 80 nucleotides in length. Their secondary structure includes four short double-helical elements and three loops (D, anti-codon, and T loops). Further hydrogen bonds mediate the characteristic L-shaped molecular structure. tRNAs have two regions of fundamental functional importance: the anti-codon, which is responsible for specific mRNA codon recognition, and the 3' end, to which the tRNAs corresponding amino acid is attached (by aminoacyl-tRNA synthetases). tRNAs cope with the degeneracy of the genetic code in two manners: having more than one tRNA (with a specific anti-codon) for a particular amino acid; and 'wobble' base-pairing, i.e. permitting non-standard base-pairing at the 3rd anti-codon position.
Source: RNAcentral